RNAcentral lists this ribosomal RNA (760 nucleotides) under Bacillus cereus. RNAcentral's name for it is "bacterial SSU rRNA". It matches the Rfam family "Bacterial small subunit ribosomal RNA", at positions 47 to 789 of the family's 1533-position model. Lineage: Bacteria; Bacillati; Bacillota; Bacilli; Caryophanales; Bacillaceae. The record is from RNAcentral.
CCUAAUACAUGCAGUCGAGCGAAUGGAUUAAGAGCUUGCUCUUAUGAAGUUAGCGGCGGACGGGUGAGUAACACGUGGGUAACCUGCCCAUAAGACUGGGAUAACUCCGGGAAACCGGGGCUAAUACCGGAUAACAUUUUGAACCGCAUGGUUCGAAAUUGAAAGGCGGCUUCGGCUGUCACUUAUGGAUGGACCCGCGUCGCAUUAGCUAGUUGGUGAGGUAACGGCUCACCAAGGCAACGAUGCGUAGCCGACCUGAGAGGGUGAUCGGCCACACUGGGACUGAGACACGGCCCAGACUCCUACGGGAGGCAGCAGUAGGGAAUCUUCCGCAAUGGACGAAAGUCUGACGGAGCAACGCCGCGUGAGUGAUGAAGGCUUUCGGGUCGUAAAACUCUGUUGUUAGGGAAGAACAAGUGCUAGUUGAAUAAGCUGGCACCUUGACGGUACCUAACCAGAAAGCCACGGCUAACUACGUGCCAGCAGCCGCGGUAAUACGUAGGUGGCAAGCGUUAUCCGGAAUUAUUGGGCGUAAAGCGCGCGCAGGUGGUUUCUUAAGUCUGAUGUGAAAGCCCACGGCUCAACCGUGGAGGGUCAUUGGAAACUGGGAGACUUGAGUGCAGAAGAGGAAAGUGGAAUUCCAUGUGUAGCGGUGAAAUGCGUAGAGAUAUGGAGGAACACCAGUGGCGAAGGCGACUUUCUGGUCUGUAACUGACACUGAGGCGCGAAAGCGUGGGGAGCAAACAGGAUUAGAUACUUG